RNAcentral lists this ribosomal RNA (1531 nucleotides) under Salmonella enterica subsp. enterica serovar Typhi. RNAcentral describes it as "bacterial SSU rRNA". It matches the Rfam family "Bacterial small subunit ribosomal RNA". Lineage: Bacteria; Pseudomonadati; Pseudomonadota; Gammaproteobacteria; Enterobacterales; Enterobacteriaceae. The record is from RNAcentral.
AGAGUUUGAUCAUGGCUCAGAUUGAACGCUGGCGGCAGGCCUAACACAUGCAAGUCGAACGGUAACAGGAAGCAGCUUGGCUGCUUUGCUGACGAGUGGCGGACGGGUGAGUAAUGUCUGGGAAACUGCCUGAUGGAGGGGGAUAACUACUGGAAACGGUGGCUAAUACCGCAUAACGUCGCAAGACCAAAGAGGGGGACCUUCGGGCCUCUUGCCAUCAGAUGUGCCCAGAUGGGAUUAGCUUGUUGGUGAGGUAACGGCUCACCAAGGCGACGAUCCCUAGCUGGUCUGAGAGGAUGACCAGCCACACUGGAACUGAGACACGGUCCAGACUCCUACGGGAGGCAGCAGUGGGGAAUAUUGCACAAUGGGCGCAAGCCUGAUGCAGCCAUGCCGCGUGUAUGAAGAAGGCCUUCGGGUUGUAAAGUACUUUCAGCGGGGAGGAAGGUGUUGUGGUUAAUAACCGCAGCAAUUGACGUUACCCGCAGAAGAAGCACCGGCUAACUCCGUGCCAGCAGCCGCGGUAAUACGGAGGGUGCAAGCGUUAAUCGGAAUUACUGGGCGUAAAGCGCACGCAGGCGGUCUGUCAAGUCGGAUGUGAAAUCCCCGGGCUCAACCUGGGAACUGCAUUCGAAACUGGCAGGCUUGAGUCUUGUAGAGGGGGGUAGAAUUCCAGGUGUAGCGGUGAAAUGCGUAGAGAUCUGGAGGAAUACCGGUGGCGAAGGCGGCCCCCUGGACAAAGACUGACGCUCAGGUGCGAAAGCGUGGGGAGCAAACAGGAUUAGAUACCCUGGUAGUCCACGCCGUAAACGAUGUCUACUUGGAGGUUGUGCCCUUGAGGCGUGGCUUCCGGAGCUAACGCGUUAAGUAGACCGCCUGGGGAGUACGGCCGCAAGGUUAAAACUCAAAUGAAUUGACGGGGGCCCGCACAAGCGGUGGAGCAUGUGGUUUAAUUCGAUGCAACGCGAAGAACCUUACCUGGUCUUGACAUCCACAGAACUUUCCAGAGAUGGAUUGGUGCCUUCGGGAACUGUGAGACAGGUGCUGCAUGGCUGUCGUCAGCUCGUGUUGUGAAAUGUUGGGUUAAGUCCCGCAACGAGCGCAACCCUUAUCCUUUGUUGCCAGCGGUCCGGCCGGGAACUCAAAGGAGACUGCCAGUGAUAAACUGGAGGAAGGUGGGGAUGACGUCAAGUCAUCAUGGCCCUUACGACCAGGGCUACACACGUGCUACAAUGGCGCAUACAAAGAGAAGCGACCUCGCGAGAGUAAGCGGACCUCAUAAAGUGCGUCGUAGUCCGGAUUGGAGUCUGCAACUCGACUCCAUGAAGUCGGAAUCGCUAGUAAUCGUGGAUCAGAAUGCCACGGUGAAUACGUUCCCGGGCCUUGUACACACCGCCCGUCACACCAUGGGAGUGGGUUGCAAAAGAAGUAGGUAGCUUAACCUUCGGGGGGGCGCUUACCACUUUGUGAUUCAUGACUGGGGUGAAGUCGUAACAAGGUAACCGUAGGGGAACCUGCGGUUGGAUCACCU